GGGCACUCUAGCGAGACUGGCCGGUAAUAACCGGAGGAAGUGGGGAUGACGUCAAAUCAUCAUGCCCCUUAUGACCUGGGCUACACACGUGCUACAAUGGUUGGUACAACGAGUUGCGGGUCGGUGACGGCGAGCUAAUCUCUUAAAGCCAAUCUCAGUUCGGAUUGUAGGCUGCAACUCGCCUACAUGAAGUCGGAAUCGCUAGUAAUCGCGGAUCAGCACGCCGCGGUCGAAUACGUUCCCGGGCCUU
This 250-nucleotide ribosomal RNA is filed under the name uncultured Streptococcus sp. Its description in RNAcentral is "partial 16S ribosomal RNA". It matches the Rfam family "Bacterial small subunit ribosomal RNA", at positions 1133 to 1382 of the family's 1533-position model. Lineage: Bacteria; Bacillati; Bacillota; Bacilli; Lactobacillales; Streptococcaceae. The record is from RNAcentral.